CGGCCGUCUCGGCGCCAACGUGGACCACGCUCUUCACAAGUUCACAGACUUAGAGCCGAGGCAGGCUCAAGGGAAGACGCAGAGCUUCAGCUGGCAACUCCUUGAUGUAGGUGGAGCGGAUGUUGCCCUGUUGUUUUCCAGACGGAGCCGAAGUCCAGACAGGCUAAGGACCUCGGCAGAGAUCACGGGGUCAGCAGCCAGGGGGGCUUCCAGAACCGCCGAGGACGCAGGCCUCACCUGUGGCUUGAGUCUCCACGCGCACCGUCUUGGAGAAGAGGCGGCUGCAAUACUUCAGCUUUUUUAAAAGGCUUAGCAAUACCUAUAAGCGAGAAUGGAUGCCUUUCCGUGCUGCAUCUCUUUCCUGCGUAGUUUUCAGAGUGGUAAAAUCAAGAUCUUCAGCCCCAGCUCCUACUCAGUGUUUGCAAAGACACGGAGCAGAAAUGUCCUCCUCUCCUUGUAACAGGC
RNAcentral lists this long non-coding RNA (465 nucleotides) under Equus caballus (horse). RNAcentral describes it as "lncRNA (ENSECAG00000043944.1)". Lineage: Eukaryota; Metazoa; Chordata; Mammalia; Perissodactyla; Equidae. The record is from RNAcentral.